RNAcentral lists this ribosomal RNA (429 nucleotides) under Actinomycetes bacterium. RNAcentral's name for it is "Actinobacteria bacterium partial 16S ribosomal RNA". It matches the Rfam family "Bacterial small subunit ribosomal RNA", at positions 355 to 776 of the family's 1533-position model. The record is from RNAcentral. Lineage: Bacteria; Bacillati; Actinomycetota; Actinomycetes.
UAGGGAAUCUUCCGCAAUGGGCGAAAGCCUGACGGAGCAACGCCGCGUUAGUGAUGAAGGUCUUCGGAUCGUAAAACUCUGUUAUUAGGGAAGAACAAAUGUGUAAGUAACUAUGCACGUCUUGACGGUACCUAAUCAGAAAGCCACGGCUAACUACGUGCCAGCAGCCGCGGUAAUACGUAGGUGGCAAGCGUUAUCCGGAAUUAUUGGGCGUAAAGCGCGCGUAGGCGGUUUUUUAAGUCUGAUGUGAAAGCCCACGGCUCAACCGUGGAGGGUCAUUGGAAACUGGAAAACUUGAGUGCAGAAGAGGAAAGUGGAAUUCCAUGUGUAGCGGUGAAAUGCGCAGAGAUAUGGAGGAACACCAGUGGCGAAGGCGACUUUCUGGUCUGUAACUGACGCUGAUGUGCGAAAGCGUGGGGAUCAAACAGG